This 499-nucleotide ribosomal RNA is filed under the name uncultured anaerobic ammonium-oxidizing bacterium. RNAcentral's name for it is "bacterial SSU rRNA". It matches the Rfam family "Bacterial small subunit ribosomal RNA", at positions 66 to 507 of the family's 1533-position model. The record is from RNAcentral.
GGAACGAGGGAGUGUGCCCGAAAGGUGCACAAACCGAACUGGCGUAAGGGUGAGUAAUGCAUUGAUAACCUACCUUUGAGACGGGGAUAACAACCGUUCCCCCGAAGGGACUCCCCGAAAGGGUUGCUAAUACCCGGAUAAAACUCUUGGUGCCUUAGGUAUCGGGAGUCAAAGGUUUGGGGCCUGAAAGGUUCCAUAUGCUCAGAGAGGGGUCAAUGUCCUAUCAGUAGUUGGUAGGGUAAAGGCCUACCAAGGGCGAAGACGGGUAGCCGGCCUGAGAGGGUGGUCGGCCACAUUGGGACUGAGACACUGCCCAGACUCCUACGGGAGGCUGCAGUCGAGAAUCUUUCGCAAUGCCCGGAAGGGUGACGAAGCGACGCCGCGUGUGGGAAGAAGGCCUUCGGGUUGUAAACCACUGUCGGGAGUUAAGAAGUGUAAGGGGGGUGAAUAGUCCUCUUACUUGACGUUAGCUCCGGAGGAAGCCACGGCUAACUCUGUG